Molecule: ribosomal RNA, 461 nt
Filed under: uncultured bacterium
Lineage: Bacteria
Description: bacterial SSU rRNA
Rfam family: Bacterial small subunit ribosomal RNA
Source: RNAcentral
GGGGACCCGCCAAGCGGUGGAUCGUGUUCUUUAAUUCGAUGAUAAACGAAGAACCUUACCAGGGUUUGACAUCCUUGGAAUUUUGUCGAAAGACGAGAGUGCUUUAUUGAGCCAAGUGACAGGUGUUGCAUGGCCGUCGUCAGCUCGUGUCGUGAGAUGUUUGGUUAAGUCCAUUAACGAGCGCAACCCUUGUGAAUAGUUGUAUUUUUCUAUUCAAACUGCCCCGGUAACGGGGAGGAAGGAGGGGAUGAUGUCAGGUCAGUAUUACCCUUACACCCUGGGCUAGAAACACGAUACAAUGGUUAGUACAAUGCGCAGCGAAGCCGCGAGGUGGAGCAAAUCGCAUCAAAGCUAAUCUCAGUUCGGAUAAGAGGCUGAAACUCGCCUCUUUGAAGUCGGAAUCGCUAGUAAUCGCAGAUCAGCAAGCUGCGGUGAAUACGUUCCCGGGUCUUGUACACACC